AACGCGUAUCCAACCUUCCCAUUACUGUGGGAUAACCUGCCGAAAGGCAGACUAAUACCGCAUAGUCUUCGAUGACGGCAUCAGAUUGAAGUAAAGAUUUAUCGGUAAUGGAUGGGGAUGCGUCUGAUUAGCUUGUUGGCGGGGUAACGGCCCACCAAGGCGACGAUCAGUAGGGGUUCUGAGAGGAAGGUCCCCCCACAUUGGAACUGAGACACGGUCCAAACUCCUACGGGAGGCAGCAGNU
Molecule: ribosomal RNA, 244 nt
Filed under: uncultured Prevotella sp.
Lineage: Bacteria; Pseudomonadati; Bacteroidota; Bacteroidia; Bacteroidales; Prevotellaceae
Description: partial 16S ribosomal RNA
Rfam family: Bacterial small subunit ribosomal RNA
Source: RNAcentral